Molecule: ribosomal RNA, 253 nt
Filed under: uncultured bacterium
Lineage: Bacteria
Description: partial 16S ribosomal RNA
Rfam family: Bacterial small subunit ribosomal RNA
Source: RNAcentral
UACGUAGGGGGCAAGCGUUGUCCGGAUUUAUUGGGCGUAAAGAGCGUGUAGGCGGCCAGACAGGUCCGUUGUGAAAACUAGAGGCUUAACCUCUAGACGUCGAUGGAAACCGUUUGGCUAGAGUCCGGAAGAGGAGAAUGGAAUUCCUGGUGUAGCGGUGAAAUGCGCAGAUAUCAGGAAGAACACCCGCGGCUAAGGCGGUUCUCUAGUACGGUACUGACGCUGAGACGCGAAAGCGUGGGGAGCGAACAGG